RNAcentral lists this non-coding RNA (27 nucleotides) under Bombyx mori (domestic silkworm). The record is from RNAcentral. Lineage: Eukaryota; Metazoa; Arthropoda; Insecta; Lepidoptera; Bombycidae.
UUGGAUAUGAACUUCAAACAGUCCGAA